GGUUGUGGCUCAGUGGUAGAGCACUUGCCUGAAUGUGUAAGGCAAUGGGUUCGAUCCUCAGCACCA
This 66-nucleotide transfer RNA is filed under the name Marmota monax (woodchuck). RNAcentral describes it as "tRNA.Phe". The record is from RNAcentral. Lineage: Eukaryota; Metazoa; Chordata; Mammalia; Rodentia; Sciuridae.